This 673-nucleotide long non-coding RNA is filed under the name Hordeum vulgare. RNAcentral describes it as "long non-coding RNA (HVUL_LNC020297)". The record is from RNAcentral. Lineage: Eukaryota; Viridiplantae; Streptophyta; Magnoliopsida; Poales; Poaceae.
CCAUUUAUUUUAUUUUAUUUUAUUUUGCAUUGUACAAUUAGCUACAAUUAUCUACACACCCAUUCGCUUGCAAAUAACGAGACCAAGGGGAUUGACAACCCUCUUGCCCGCGUUGGGUGCAAGUUGUUUGUUCUUUUGUGUGCAGCUGCUGAAGACGGUUGUGGAUUGAUAUUCCUAUUGGCUUGAUAAACCUAGGUUUUAUAACUGAGGGAAAUACUUACCUGGUUUGUGUUGCGAUUACCCGUUCCUCUUCAUGAAAAACCCAACGCAGAUCACGAGUAUAAGACAUUAACGUCAUCGCCCGAAUUAUCAUCAUUAUACACAACCAUAUGCACUCAGGGACAAUCGGAUGUAGAUCUAUGAACCUCUUUACUCCUAUUCUCCUGAGCUAAACCUUUUUGUGAUACUUGGUUAAUGCUCAAAAACUCAUAACUUUCCAGCCUCUCUUUGAUAUGUGAUUUCAAACCAUUAAGCACAAGAUCCGCCAAGUCUCUCUCACUUAUCACUAAACUAUAACAUCGAUUUUUUGUAUCUCGAAAUCUCUUGACAUAAUCGGUGACCGAUUCAUCAUGUUUCUGCCUAACCGAUAUAAGAUGUGAUAAUUUUAUAUCAUUAACGCUGCUAUAAAAGUGAUCAUGAAACUUCUGCUCUAAUUGCAAUCUUAAGAGAAUAG